Molecule: ribosomal RNA, 771 nt
Filed under: uncultured bacterium
Lineage: Bacteria
Description: bacterial SSU rRNA
Rfam family: Bacterial small subunit ribosomal RNA
Source: RNAcentral
AGAGUUUGAUCAUGGCUCAGGACGAACGCUGGCGGCGUGCCUAACACAUGCAAGUCGAGCGGGGAUUGCAGCAAUGUGAUCUUAGCGGCGGACGGGUGAGUAACGCGUGGGUAACCUGCCUUACACAGGGGGAUAACACAGGGAAACUUGUGCUAAUACCGCAUAACGUCACUGGAUGGCAUCAUCUGGUGACCAGAGGAGCAAUCCGGUGGAAGAUGGACCCGCGUCCGAUUAGCUAGUUGGCGGAGUAAAAGCCCACCAAGGCGACGAUCGGUAGCCGAACUGAGAGGUUGAUCGGCCACAUUGGGACUGAGACACGGCCCAGACUCCUACGGGAGGCAGCAGUGGGGAAUAUUGCGCAAUGGGGGGAACCCUGACGCAGCAACGCCGCGUGAAGGAUGAAGGCCUCCGGGUUGUAAACUUCUUUAGCCAGGGACGAAGAAUGACGGUACCUGGAGAAUAAGCCACGGCUAACUACGUGCCAGCAGCCGCGGUAAUACGUAGGUGGCGAGCGUUGUCCGGAAUUACUGGGUGUAAAGGGCGUGUAGGCGGGACUUGUAAGUCAGGUGUGAAAUUCCGGGGCUCAACCCCGGAGCUGCACCUGAAACUAUGGUUCUUGAGUGCUGGAGAGGAAAGCGGAAUUCCUAGUGUAGCGGUGAAAUGCGUAGAUAUUAGGAGGAACACCAGUGGCGAAGGCGGCUUUCUGGACAGUAACUGACGCUGAGGCGCGAAAGCGUGGGGAGCAAACAGGAUUAGAUACCCUAGUAGUCC